RNAcentral lists this ribosomal RNA (456 nucleotides) under uncultured bacterium. RNAcentral describes it as "bacterial SSU rRNA". It matches the Rfam family "Bacterial small subunit ribosomal RNA", at positions 340 to 786 of the family's 1533-position model. The record is from RNAcentral.
UACGGGAGGCAGCAGUGGGGAAUAUUGCACAAUGGGCGAAAGCCUGAUGCAGCUAUGCCGCGUGUAUGAAGAAGGCCUUAGGGUUGUAAAGUACUUUCAUCGGGGAGGAAAAAACAAAACUAAUAAUUUUAUUUCUUGACGUUACCCGAAAAAGAAGCACCGGCUAACUCCGUGCCAGCAGCCGCGGUAAUACGGAGGGUGCUAGCGUUAAUCAGAAUUACUGGGUGUAAAGAGCACGUAGGUGGUUUUUUUAAGUCAGAUGUGAAAUCCCUGGGCUUAACCUAGGAACUGCAUUUUGAAACUGAAAUACUAGAGUAUCGUAGAGGGAGGUAGAAUUCUAGGUGUAGCGGUGAAAUGCGUAGAUAUCUGGAGGAAUACCUGUGGCGAAAGCGGCCUCCUAAACGAAUACUGACACUGAGGUGCGAAAGCGUGGGGAGCAAACAGGGAUUAGAUACC